GGGGGCGUUUUGGCUUCGACGGGGGUAAGAGGAGUUUGAUAAGCGAGUCGAGGCAGCAUGUCACCUCGUUAAUCAAGUAUGCAAAAAGAUAAACGCAGAAGACAAUUUUGCAAUAGCAGCCUAAUUUAGCGCUGUUCAUCAGCCCGGGGUGCCCACGCUUCGGAUCACUGGUGUCAUUAAAGUGGGAAACGAAGUUUAGCAAAGCUUUGAGCUAGAGGGGUAUUUAUGAAGCUAGCAAGUAUGUUGCCUGUCUGUAGGCGUUCAUAUGAGCGAAUUUUAAUAUAUAGACUACACUCGUAGAAAGUCAGAUGCAUCUACUUUCGGACAGGGGUUCGAUUUGUAACAAAGUCGCAUUAGGGAGUGAUCCUUAAGUGAAAACUUGGCUUUAUCGGUGAAACCGUAGCAAAUAAUGUUGCCGGCAAUACCGAGAGGUAUGUAAGGAAACUUAACAGCCUCGUAUCGACUUAUAGGUUCCUAAGGAUAUUAUUUAUUAAUGUUACGGAAUACUAGGAUAGAAGAUUAAAACUAUACUAUGCUUCUAUAAUACGCCAAGAGUCUUGUAGAGAUUGUCCACAAGAUUAAGAUAUAGUCAGCACCAUUAGAGAUAAUGGACGCCGGUGACCCCUCGCCUCCACCA
RNAcentral lists this transfer-messenger RNA (637 nucleotides) under Clostridium botulinum B str. Eklund 17B (NRP). Its description in RNAcentral is "transfer-messenger RNA Clost_botul_BEkl". The stretch from base 9 to 340 matches the Rfam family "transfer-messenger RNA". From Rfam's summary of the family: Bacterial tmRNA, also known as 10Sa RNA or SsrA, is named for its dual tRNA and mRNA-like properties. Its role is to liberate the mRNA from a stalled ribosome. To accomplish this part of the tmRNA is used as a reading frame that ends in a translation stop signal. Lineage: Bacteria; Bacillati; Bacillota; Clostridia; Eubacteriales; Clostridiaceae. RNAcentral also lists the same sequence under 1 other name. The record is from RNAcentral.